RNAcentral lists this ribosomal RNA (515 nucleotides) under Liopholis guthega. RNAcentral's name for it is "partial 16S ribosomal RNA". It matches the Rfam family "Bacterial large subunit ribosomal RNA", at positions 1837 to 2592 of the family's 2925-position model. Lineage: Eukaryota; Metazoa; Chordata; Lepidosauria; Squamata; Scincidae. The record is from RNAcentral.
AAACAAGUAUUAAAGGUCCCGCCUGCCCAGUGAAACACUUUAAACGGCCGCGGUAUCCUAACCGUGCAAAGGUAGCGUAAUCACUUGUCUUCUAAAUAAAGACUAGUAUGAACGGCUAAAUGAGGACAAAACUGUCUCUUACAGCUAAUCAGUGAAACUGAUCUCCCAGUUCAAAAGCUGGGAUAAAACCAUAAGACGAGAAGACCCUGUGGAGCUUUAAACCAACCGCUAACAAGCAUUCACAAUAAUGCACCUAGCCCUAGGUUUUAAGUUGGGGCGACUUCGGAACAAAGAAAAACUUCCGAGCAUAGAACCACCACUUCUCACCAAGGCCAACAAGCCAAGGCAAAAACCGACCCAGUCACACUGAUCAACGAACCAAGUUACCCCAGGGAUAACAGCGCUAUCUUCUUCAAGAGUCCCUAUCGACAAGAAGGUUUACGACCUCGAUGUUGGAUCAGGACACCCAAAUGGUGCAGCCGCUAUUAAAGGUUCGUUUGUUCAACGAUUUACAA